CUUCUCUCCUUGCCCCGUCCCAGAGCCUCUGACCUCCUUCCUUUCCAUGCUUCUCUGGCUGGGAAACUUCCUCUCCUCUUCCCCCACCAGGCUGCAUGUGAAUAAGAGGCCUGGGCUUAGACGAUUUCCCCAAGUCCGUGCACCGUGUCGUCAAGGGGUUCUGCCCGCUUCACACGGCGCCCCCGAGACCUACUGUUGAACCUGGCACGGGGGUCACAAGUGUUUGCUGAAUGAGUGUUUUAAGUCCUGGGGCGGACGCAGGUAGGGUGUUUGAGAGGGCGUCUCUUUGACCCCUGCCUCUGCCAGGUGUGCCCCUGAGAGCCUGAAGACACGCACCUUCUCCCAUGCCAGCGACACCUGGAUGUUCGGGGUGACACUGUGGGAAAUGUUCACCUACGGCCAGGAGCCCUGGAUCGGCCUCAACGGCAGUCAGAUCCUGCAUAAGAUCGACAAAGAGGGGGAGCGGCUGCCUCGGCCCGAGGACUGUCCCCAGGACAUCUACAAUGUCAUGGUCCAGUGCUGGGCUCACAAGCCAGAGGACAGACCCACGUUUGUGGCCCUGCGGGACUUCCUGCUGGAGGCCCAGCCCACGGACAUGCGGGCCCUUCAGGACUUUGAGGAAGCGGACAAGCUGCACAUCCAGAUGAAUGAUGUCAUCACCGUUAUCGAGGGAAGGGCCGAGAACUACUGGUGGCGUGGCCAGAACACGCGGACGCUGUGUGUGGGGCCCUUCCCUCGCAACGUGGUGACCUCCGUGGCCGGCCUGUCGGCCCAGGACAUCAGCCAGCCCCUGCAGAACAGCUUCAUCCACACGGGGCAUGGCGACAGUGACCCCCGCCACUGCUGGGGCUUCCCGGACAGGAUUGACGAGACACUCCCCAGCUGAGAUGUGCGGUCAGGUUCUGUCGACUGGGAGGCGGGAGGCCUACACCCAGUUUCCUCCAGGAGGAAGGGGUUCUGAUGAGAUUCUGCCACCCCUCCACACGCUUCCCCUGCCCUCUUGACCUGGCUCUGUCCCCCACAGACUGUAUCUGGGAAACCCCCUGGACCCCCCCGACCUGCUGAGCGUGGAACUGAGCACCUCCCGGCCCCCCCAGCAUCUAGGAGGGGUGAAAAAACCAACCUAUGACCCUGUGAGCGAAGACCAAGACCCCCUGUCCAGCGACUUCAAGAGGCUGGGCCUGCGGAAGCCAGGC
RNAcentral lists this small RNA (1196 nucleotides) under Pongo abelii (Sumatran orangutan). RNAcentral describes it as "retained intron". Lineage: Eukaryota; Metazoa; Chordata; Mammalia; Primates; Hominidae. The record is from RNAcentral.